GAAUAAGAGUCAUUCAUUCUCAUUUCUUUUUCGUAGUCUCAUUCCUCCAACUAAAUGUGUACUAAGAGAAUAUUUGGUUUACGACUGGAAUCGAAAUUGCAAUCAGAAUGGAUUGAAAUGAGAAUUGGAAUGACCAUAUCCCUUAAAACAUUUGGUUUGUGACUGAAAUCACAAUCUAAAUCAAAAUCGGAAUGAAAAUUUGAAUCCUUAGAAGAGAGUGGGGAUCGGAUUUUAGGAGGAUUAGAUUAUUCCCAUUCCGUCCAAAAAUCAGAACG
RNAcentral lists this long non-coding RNA (275 nucleotides) under Elaeis guineensis (African oil palm). Its description in RNAcentral is "long non-coding RNA (EGUI_LNC000397)". The record is from RNAcentral. Lineage: Eukaryota; Viridiplantae; Streptophyta; Magnoliopsida; Arecales; Arecaceae.